This 253-nucleotide ribosomal RNA is filed under the name uncultured bacterium. Its description in RNAcentral is "partial 16S ribosomal RNA". It matches the Rfam family "Bacterial small subunit ribosomal RNA", at positions 524 to 776 of the family's 1533-position model. The record is from RNAcentral.
UACGUAGGGUGCGAGCGUUGUCCGGAAUUAUUGGGCGUAAAGAGCUCGUAGGUGGUUUGUCGCGUUGUUCGUGAAAACUCACAACUCAAUUGUGGGCGUGCAGGCGAUACGGGCAGACUGGAGUACUGCAGGGGAGACUGGAAUUCCUGGUGUAGCGGUGGAAUGCGCAGAUAUCAGGAGGAACACCGGUGGCGAAGGCGGGUCUCUGGGCAGUAACUGACGCUGAGGAGCGAAAGCGUGGGGAGCGAACAGG